Molecule: ribosomal RNA, 380 nt
Filed under: uncultured eukaryote
Lineage: Eukaryota
Description: partial 18S ribosomal RNA
Rfam family: Eukaryotic small subunit ribosomal RNA
Source: RNAcentral
CAAUAGCGUAUAUUAAAGUUGUUGCAGUUAAAAAGCUCGUAGUUGGAUUUGUGGCUGUCACGGGCGGCCUAUCACUUAGUGUUAGUGCUUGCCUGUGUCGCCAUCCUUGGGUGGAGCCCGUGUGGCAUUAGGUUGUCGUGCGGGGGAUGCCCAUCGUUUACUGUGAGAAAAUUAGAGUGUUCAAAGCAGGCUUAUGCCAUUGAAUAUGUUAGCAUGGAAUAAUAAGAUAGGACCUCGGUACUAUUUUGUUGGUUUGCGCACCGAGGUAAUGAUUAAUAGGGACAGUUGGGGGUAUUCGUAUUUCAUUGUCAGAGGUGAAAUUCUUGGAUUCCUGAAAGACGAACUACUGCGAAAGCAUUUACCAAGGAUGUUUUCAUUAA